GAUGAACGCUGGCGGCGUGCCUAAUACAUGCAAGUCGAGCGAAUGGAUUAAGAGCUUGCUCUUAUGAAGUUAGCGGCGGACGGGUGAGUAACACGUGGGUAACAUCCCCAUAAGACUGGGAUAACUCCGGGAAACAGGGGCUAAUAUCGGAUAACAUUUUGAACCGCAUGGUUCGAAAUUGAAUGGCGGCUUCGGCUGUCACUUAUGGUUGGCCCCGCGUCGCACUAGCUAGUUGGUGAGGUAACGGCUCACCAAGGCAACGAUGCGUAGCCGACGGGGGAGGGUGAUCGGCAACACUGGGACUGAGACACGGCCCAGACUCCUACGGGAGGCAGCAGUAGGGAAUCUUCCGCAAGGGACGAAAGUCUGACGGAGAAACGCCGCGUGAGUGAUGAAGGCUUUCGGGUCGUAAAACUCUGUUGUUAGGGAAGAACAAGUGCUAGUUGAAUAAGCUGGCACCUUGACGGUACCUAACCAGAAAGCCACGGCUAACUACGUGCCAGCCGCCGCGGUAA
This 515-nucleotide ribosomal RNA is filed under the name uncultured bacterium. RNAcentral's name for it is "partial 16S ribosomal RNA". It matches the Rfam family "Bacterial small subunit ribosomal RNA", at positions 28 to 523 of the family's 1533-position model. The record is from RNAcentral.